Small nucleolar RNA from Alnus glutinosa, 108 nucleotides. The record is from RefSeq and is a predicted model, not a curated record. NCBI's taxonomy places the organism in Eukaryota, Viridiplantae, Streptophyta, Magnoliopsida, Fagales, Betulaceae.
UAUCCAUGAUGAGGGCACUUGAUCAACAUUUCUUUAAAUCUUUCCCAACUCUCCGAAAUUUUUUCAUCAUCCUCCUGAGUAAAACAGCUUAUUUCCUUUCUACAUUCA